Molecule: long non-coding RNA, 861 nt
Organism: Oryzias melastigma (Indian medaka)
Lineage: Eukaryota; Metazoa; Chordata; Actinopteri; Beloniformes; Adrianichthyidae
Exons: 2
Source: RefSeq, a predicted model, not a curated record
AGGAAGUUCAUGAAAAAUUCCUGCUGUCGGGAUAACAAAAAGUUAGUUUAUAUCUGGUUAAUAGCCGUGCGGACUGAAGGGGGAACUUUCUCCCACUGACACACAGCUGAAAUGCUGUGUUGCCACAGAUUUAAUCUCCAGUCAUUAUGGGAUGUCAGUGUGACAAAUGUUCCCCCACAUUUAAGCCUCAAUAUUCUGUCAUUUUUGGGGACGAAUGACUUGAAACAAAUCAAAAACUGUGGGAAUAAUGAAAUUUCCAGUGGAGACGGGAUUGUAAUCACUGUGAAUAUCAAUAACAUCCAUCGGGGGAAGUAGAUGCCGAGGCUGGGAGUAAGGAUGACAGAUGAAGAGCUCGUCGUUUUUAUUACCAGACGGAGGAAGGAAACCAACGAUCCAGUGGCAGAAAAGCUUUUUGGUCUCACACCACGAUACCUGUGACUUGAUGAGCGGAUGGAUGAUCACAUGACUACAUGCAUACAAAGAGCUACAAGUCACAAGUGCAGCAUUCUUUUUUCAAAUAACACGCUCAGGCCGGUGGCGUCCCACUUCUCGAGCCCGCUUUGAUCUGGUUUCAGAGCAACUUUGGAGCAUGUAGAAGACAUGGGGGCCGAGGUCAAUUCACUAACACUUCAGUCCUUUCAAAUUCAACAGUCACUUGUUUCCUAAUUGUUUGUUUCUUUUUCAGUUGUAAAAGAAGCCAUUUUCAAAAUAAAAGUCCUGACAUGAAAGCAAACUGACCCCCACCCUGGCAAGGCGUCAAUGAGGAUGGCUUUGGCUGGUUGGUCAGAGCUGAAAAUGUGUUUCGUCUUGAAAAAAGUAUACUGCAUCUUUAAAAAAAUAAAAACAAAAAUAAUAAAAAAA